RNAcentral lists this long non-coding RNA (2037 nucleotides) under Lynx pardinus (Iberian lynx). The record is from RNAcentral. Lineage: Eukaryota; Metazoa; Chordata; Mammalia; Carnivora; Felidae.
AUCGGAAGCAGGCUCCAGGCUCUGAGCUGUCAGCACAGAGCCCGACGUGGGGCUCGAACCCAGGAACCGCGAGAUCAUGACCCGAGCCGAAGUGGGACACUUAACCAACUGAGCCAGCCAGGCGCCCCCAGAUUUGACUUUUAAAUACCAGACAAAGGAAUCAGGCUUCUUGGAGAAACGGCAGAUCCCAGGGCAGGAGCAGGAAAAGCACGAGAUAAGCCUCGACCACCUCCUUGUGUCAGAAAGUAAGCAGGUGGCCAAGGACAGAUGGAGGGAUGUGACACGGAUGCAAAAGCCAGCCUGAAACGCUGCCCAGCAGCCAAAUCUGGGACAAUCCGACACCGAAAGAGGUAAUGAUGGCACCAGAUUGUACAAAACGUUGAGUGAAACAGGAAUCCAUGGGUCCAUACAGACAGAAAUAAACAUGUGGACCAAUAAAUAGGGACAGGAGAAAGCAGAAUUGGGAGCUAAUCCUAAGCAGUCGUCAGACAAACCCACCUGAAGAGAUAUUCUACCAAAGAUCUGGCUUGUAGUCUUAAAUUUUUUUUUUUACAUUUUUAUUUAUUUUUGAGAGGCAGAGAGAGACAGAGUGUGAGUGGGGGGAGGGCCACAGAGAGAGGGAGACACAGAAUCCGAAGCAGGCUCCAGGCUCUGAGCUGUCAGCACAGAGCCCGACGCGGGCCUCGAACCCCCGAACCGUGAGAUCACGACCUGAGCCGAAGUUGGACACCCAACCAACUGAGCUGCUCAGGCGCCCUCUGACCUGUAGUCUUAAAGAGAGACUACUGCCGAUUGGAGGAGACAAAAGAGAUGUGGCAACUAAGUGCAACGUGUGAUUCUGAACUUUGUCCUUUCACUGUGCAGCGUGGAGCUGGGACAACUGGCAAAACCCGACGAAGAUGGAGAGAUGAGAUGGUCGCACCCGGUGAACCAGGCCAGUCACAGAGGACAAGCACGGUAUGGCUCCACUUAUACGAGGUUGUGGGGGGUGGGGUGGGGGCCUGGAACUUCCUGUAGAGACAGGAAGUAGCCGGUGGUCACAGGGGCGGGGGUGGGGUGGGGAGGAGGAAUGUGGAGUUGGUGGGGACAGAGUUUCAGCUUGGGAAGAUGGACAAGUUCUGGAGAUGGAUGGUGGUGGUGGUGGUUGUGGAACAAUGUGAAUGAACCUGAUCUUACUGAACGGGACACUUAAAGAUGGUUCAGAUGGUAAAUUUUAUGUCAUGUGUAUUUUCCUGCAACACAAAUGGGGAAAGCAGCUGGGUUUUGGAAGUGAACAGAGCAGGGUUGGACUCUCACCUCUGACACUGGUCGCUGGAUGACCUCGGGUGACCUCGGGGGUGGCUGUUAGUGGCCUGCCUGUGGCAAGCGCUCAGAACAGGCUACCUCCUCUUAACUGGUCAUUGCGCGUCUUUGACUCUAACUGCAAGGUGGCUGGUUGGAUUUUGCCCAUCGCCUCCACCCCCAGACCCAUAUGUACAACCUGCCGGCCACUCAGAGCUCCUAAGCCUGCUACCAGUCUUCUCUCCAGGAACCUCUCCUGGGGACAGUUAGAGGGGCGGAGCGUGUCCCAGCCAAAGACACAGGUAGGACCUUACAUGCUUGUGUAUGCACCUGCCGUCUCUGGAGGGGAAGUAUGGACCUGGGAGGGACACGGGUGGGGAGCUUCUCCCUGUGAAACCCGUUCAUGCCCCUGGAAUGUCUUCCCACAAGCUGCGUCUGUGUAAAUCACAUAAAUAAAUACACAAGUCAGUCAUUACCGAAGAGGGGCCCCCGUUCCCUCCUCCCUUUCCCUCGUCCCUCUCCUCAAGGCACUGCCAUCUUACAUUAGCCCCUAGCUCUCCAGCCAAAACUGCUGCGGCCCUCGUUGAGGAAUUCGGUGGAUGUCUCCCUCUUUCUCCCUCUUCCUGUCAGCUCCGUGGCACUUUGAAACACCACUUUCCUCGGCUUCUGGAAAACCAGCGAAAUCUAUUCACGAUGGGGAAGGGCCAUGCCUUUGCAGUCACCGUUGGAACUCCUAUGGCAAAGGGCACUGCCUGG